This 391-nucleotide ribosomal RNA is filed under the name Bokermannohyla carvalhoi. RNAcentral's name for it is "partial small subunit ribosomal RNA". It matches the Rfam family "Bacterial small subunit ribosomal RNA", at positions 940 to 1522 of the family's 1533-position model. The record is from RNAcentral. Lineage: Eukaryota; Metazoa; Chordata; Amphibia; Anura; Hylidae.
UGUCCUAUAAUCGAUAAUCCCCGUUUAACCUCACCAUUUUUAGCCAUAUCAGUCUGUAUACCUCCGUCGCCAAUUUACCACGUGAGCGUCUAAUAGUAAGUAAAAUAUCUUAUUACUCGAUUAUACGUCAGGUCAAGGUGCAGCAAAUAAAAUGGGAAGAGAUGGGCUACACUCUCUAAUUUAAAAUAUACGGAAAACUCCUCAUGAAAAGAGUUUGAAGGCGGAUUUAGUAGUAAGAGAGGCUCAAAGAGCCCCUCUUAAACCGGCACUGGGGUGUGUACACACCGCCCGUCACCCUCUUCGCAGCCCUUAAAUAGUGUUUUACAACCCCAUGCACAGUAGAAGAGGCAAGUCGUAACAUGGUAAGUAUACCGGAAGGUGUGCUUGGAAA